UGGAUGUGUACUUGCAGGUGCAUUUUGGGAGAAGCUAAAGUUGGUUGCUGAGAGAAAGGUGGGUGAAGCAGAAGCAGAGAGAUUUUGCAAGGCAUUU
Non-coding RNA from Prunus avium (sweet cherry), 97 nucleotides. NCBI's taxonomy places the organism in Eukaryota, Viridiplantae, Streptophyta, Magnoliopsida, Rosales, Rosaceae. The record is from RefSeq and is a predicted model, not a curated record.